Molecule: long non-coding RNA, 2545 nt
Filed under: Olea europaea subsp. europaea
Lineage: Eukaryota; Viridiplantae; Streptophyta; Magnoliopsida; Lamiales; Oleaceae
Source: RNAcentral
CCCACGUCCUCAUGUAUUUCCUCUCUCUCCCUCUCCUCUUCCUCACGUAGAAAACCCUCUCUCAUCACAGUCAAACAUAAUCAGAACGAUGAUAGAAGAAACCAGGGAGAAGGAAGAAGAACCCAAGUACUCACACAUUUGAACCAGGAAGAAGGAAGAAAAAAUAAGCAACCAAACGCCUCUGCUUCCAUAUCCGCCCUAUUCACUGCCAAACUUCGAUACCAAGCUGUUGUUUGCGUCGAUUGAGGUUUGUUUCACAGCACUUUUAAAAAUUGCGAUUGUGUGAUGUUCCAUGUGAAUUUUCUAAUUAUACUCAUGAAUUAAUUGCGAAUAUUACCUUUAUUUUGGAGUUAUAGUACUUAGGAUACUGAUCGUUGAAUUGGAAUUCUUUCUGCUUCUUUUCCAUUGUAAUUUAUCAUUGACUUAUAUUCAGUGUAAAAAAUAGAAAUGGGGGAGAAAAUGGCUCUUUCUUUCACUACAUUACCAUGGGGGUGGUUGGCCUGUACAAAGAAAGAGCAAGUUUCGAAUGGGACAUCAAUGAAUUUGAUAAACUUUUCCUUCACCCCAAUUGCAGCUUCCUUUCUCCGUUUUAGUCGAAAAGCUUUUCCAGAAAGUGCUGGAGCCUUUACUUUUUAAUUCUCAAUUUUCUGGAAGGAGAAUUUAAGGGACACUGUCAAUCAAACUAUUAAAUAACAAAACUGUAUUCAACAACAACGAAAUAAAAAAGGAUGGUUUACAUCUAUCAAUUAAUUUAUAUCAUGUGUAACAAUGGUAUGCUGGUAAUCGUCCAUUUAUAUGGCCUUGUGGGAUUUGAAAUUAUUAAAUGCUAACUUGAUGGAGUCGUAUUGUGCUUGUUUUCAUAUAAGGAUGGUAUUUAAGCUCCUAGCAUAUGAUAAACAUCACUCGAUCUUGAUGAUUUGUCAUUUUAUGUUGAGUUGAAAUGAUGUAGUGUUUAGUUUUCUUGGCCAUGGUCCAUUUUUCAUGUAUUGACUCAUCAAAAGUAGUUGCUUUCCUGUGUGUUUCGGGCGUCAUUCCCUCUCCUGAUUUAACAAGUGCAUAAUGUAGCAAGGGUUGUCGCACACCUUUUAGUUAACUCACUUGAAUAUUUCGCAAUUUUAAAGAGAUCCUCAAUUGUUUAUGAAGUUGAGAUAGGUACACAUUUGCUACCCUGUUACAUUUCUAAUACUUAAUGUCUAUUACAAUUUUGGCCAAAGUGCUAUAAAUGAAUUUUAAAUUAGUAGUUACUUAUGAUAGGUACACGUUGCUUGAUUUAUGAUGGCAUUUAAGAGCUUUGUCUUUUCGGACGGUUCAUAGAUUUGUUAAACUUGGUAUAUGCUUUCUAGGGUGAUUAUAUAAUCAGUGAAACUUUUGAAACAUAUAAAUUUACACGCCUUGUGCAUGGGGUACCGUACUUUUUGUUGUAUACUCUAUCUGCCCUAUUCGCUGCCAAAAUGGCUUGAUGAAAAUUUUUAUCAACUACAAACUUUUUUUUCCUAAUGGUGAUGGUGUGUAUGGAUCCCCAAAAUUGGCUCCUGCUGAUAUAGAGGAAGAUAAGAUAUCAUGACAGGAGAGAAAUGCUUUUAGAAAAGAGAAAAAAUAUGCGACAAGUGAAUUGUAAAAUUCAUAUUUAUGCAUCUCAUGGUAUAACCAUUAAUCUUGAAUUCUUUAUCCUGAAUUUAUUUUUUUUGCGACUAGAAGCUAGUGAAAAAAUGGAGAUAUUCAGGGGUUCCAAAUAUUUAAUGAGGCCGUGAAGCAUAUUUGGUCCAUCAAAGAAAAGAAGAAUUGAAUGAUCUAUUAGGAGGUACUUACAAUUGUAACCAGUGAAAGAUAAAUAUAAUGCAUCAGUAACUUUGUAUUUCUAAUAUUGCAAUUUGUAAUGUCAAGGGGAAAGUGAUGGACUGCCAAAAUUUGCCUAUUUCUAAGAUAUGCUUCUCUCUGAUACAGAGAUCCAAUCUCAAUCUAUACAUCAAUGCUAUUCACUGUGAGCUUCAACCAUUUGCUUGUACCAUUCCUGGUUGUGGGAUGAAAUUUGCAUUCAAACAUAUCAGGGAUAAUCAUGAAAAAUCUGGGUGCCAUGUUUAUGCCCAGGUAAGUUUGGCCUUAUUUCCCAAUUUUACAACUCGACUAUCAGUCCCUUUUCCAUUCUGAGAGAUGUCUUGGGCAAUUAAAAUUUAAACUAAUCUUUGAGUCUUGCUCUGUUAAGGGAAAUUUUGAAGAGUCCAAUGAGCAAUUCGUCUAAGACCAAGAGGUUUCAGGAAAAGAACAAGCCUAGAGAUUGAAACCUUGAUGCGGAAAAGGGUUGUUUCGCCUAGUGAAUCAGGUCUCAUGAGACAGGAGGGACCUGAAUACUUGUCGUGGCUACUUUUUGGAUAUUCACAGGAUUAAAUGAUUGUUGGGAGAAGACGGAGAUGCUGCCAUCAAACAUAUGUAAAAGUAUGGUAUUCACAGGAUUAAGAGGACUUGCUUGGAGAAUUCAACAAACAUAUGUAUAAGUAUGGUAUCUUUGUUGAUUUUAAUUGCUACUAUCAUACAGUAGACAUGUUUU